UUCCGGUUGAUCCCGCCGGACCUGACUGCUAUCGGAUUGAUACUAAGCCAUGCGAGUCAUUGUAGUAAUACAAGGCAGACGGCUCAGUAACGCGUAGUCAACCUACCCUAUGGACGAGGAUAAUCUCGGGAAACUGAGGAUAAUACUCGAUAGACCAUUAUGCCUGGAACGGUUUAUGGUUAAAAUGAUUCGUCGCCAUAGGAUGGGACUGCGGCCUAUCAGCUUGUUGGUGAGGUAAUGGCCCACCAAGGCGAUUACAGGUACGGGCUCUGAGAGGAGAAGCCCGGAGAUGGGUACUGAGACAAGGACCCAGGCCCUAUGGGGCGCAGCAGGCGAGAAAACUUUGCAAUGUGCGAAAGCACGACAAGGUUAGUCCGAGUGAUUUCUGCUAAAGAAAUCUUUUGCAAGUCAUAAAACCACUAGUGAAUAAGGGGUGGGCAAGUUCUGGUGUCAGCCGCCGCGGUAAAACCAGCACCUCAAGUGGUCAGGAUGAUUAUUGGGCCUAAAGCAUCCGUAGCCGGCUCUGUUAGUUUUCGGUUAAAUCUAUGUGCUCAACGCAUGGGCUGCCGAAAAUACUGCAGGGCUAGGGAGUGGGAGAGGUAGACGGUACUCGGUAGGAAGGGGUAAAAUCCUUUGAUCUAUCGAUGACCACCUGUGGCGAAGGCGGUCUACCAGAACACGUUCGACGGUGAGGGAUGAAAGCUGGGGGAGCAAACCGGAUUAGAUACCCGGGUAGUCCCAGCUGUAAACGAUGCAGACUCGAUGAUGCAUUGGCUUAUUGCCAAUGCAGUGUCGCAGGGAAGCCGUUAAGUCUGCCGCCUGGGAAGUACGUACGCAAGUAUGAAACUUAAAGGAAUUGGCGGGGGAGCACCACAAGGGGUGAAGCCUGCGGUUCAAUUGGAGUCAACGCCGG
This 913-nucleotide ribosomal RNA is filed under the name uncultured marine archaeon. Its description in RNAcentral is "bacterial SSU rRNA". It matches the Rfam family "Archaeal small subunit ribosomal RNA", at positions 1 to 921 of the family's 1478-position model. The record is from RNAcentral.